Molecule: long non-coding RNA, 2483 nt
Filed under: Homo sapiens (human)
Lineage: Eukaryota; Metazoa; Chordata; Mammalia; Primates; Hominidae
Description: long non-coding RNA NONHSAT172899.1
Source: RNAcentral
GCUCCACGGCCACAUCCGCAAAAAGGGUACUGGUGAACGUGACAUUUUCACGAAGCCACAGCCCAUGGUCACUCCCUGCAAAGCUCUGAACUUGCGCAUUCCCAGGCCAGGCCGUGGUUGUCUUUCCAAGGCGGCUCAGCUUGUGCUUUGCUUGGAGAGAGCGGAGGGCAGCAGCACAGUGACAGCGUCUGGGACCUCAGACCAGUUUCCACAGCCACUUAUGAAAGCAGACGGCUCCAUGGGCUGGAGGAGGUGGGACGCUCUGGAAAGAACUCGGGUGCGAGUGGGAAAGAAAAUCGAGCUGAGCAGCGGGAAGUCGAAGUCGCGUGAGUGAGGACCAGACACUCUCGAUUUAGGCAAAGGCGGGGUGCACUUCCCAACAACACAUCCUCCUCACUGGCGAGACCAGGCCUGCCCUUCAAGUUCCUCUCCUGAUUUAAUCCCCUUGGCGAGGGUUUGGCAUGAAAUCAAUGGCCAGCAAGCUUGGUAAACGAAGCCGCCUACACCGCCCUCCCCCUCCCUGCACGGCCGCGCCCCGCCUCCGCUCCUGUCUCAAUCUGGGAUUGUCCUCCUGUAGCCCCACCAUCCACCGUGGGGAACGGUGGAGAGACUACAACUCCCAGUAUGCACCGCGAUGCGCGCCUCACCCUGCAUCUCCCAGCCCGCAGCCAGCUGGCAUCCUAGACCCUCUGCCCUGCGACCAACAGCCGGGAGCGGACCAGACACCAGAACUCCCGGAACGGUUGAAGACGGUUCCGCUCCCUGUCCCGCCUUUCGCAGCCCAGCAGUUUCGCCCUGCGGAGAGGAGCCUUGCUGUUUCCAAAUCUCUCCUGCUGAAGAGACAUUGGAGCUAGGGCGGCUAGUUUCACCUGGUAAUUGUGACACCCUGUCUCCUCGAGCUGCAGGCUUUUAUGCUUGUCAUGUUCGAAGUUUGAUACCUUGCAGAUCAACAAAGGGUCGGUGGCCUCUCACUGCCUCCGCGGCAGGGUUGUCAAGGCAUGCGCAGUGCGGCCCGUCCCUAGGGCUGGGUUAAGGGCCGCGGAUGUGGCAGUUCUCAGGCCUCUUGGGAUCGCCUCAAGAAGCCCCCUCACGAGUGUCUCGAUUUCCUGUCAGCCAACAAAGGGCCGUUCGCCUUUCAUGGCCUCCACAGCAGCGUUGCCGUGGCUGUCACAAAUUCUCUGCACCCCAGGAGUGCCGCUUGGACCCCCGGGCUCGCUGCGUGGUCCAUAUCUAGGUCGGGCCUCUCACGGAGACUUUCCCACCAGUGUAAUAAAGAGGAGAAAACGUCACAGCGGAAGGGCCUGACCCUGCUGCAUCCACUAAGGAAACAGCUACGGGGAUGGGACCCUGGAAGCUGCUGUGGGAGCCUCAUCCACCGCUUCUCUGACCCCACCCAGGCUGCUUCCCAGGCCUCAGGGUCUUAGUGUGGACCUCCGGGCCGUGAUUAAUGCAGGUUUUCAGGUUAAGUACUGCACGACUACUCGCUUCUGAAACUGAUAGACACUGCCUCAGCUCCGUGCAGGGCAGACGCACAAGAGCAGAAUCUCCGUGGGACAUCUCUCUGGAGCAUCAAUAUUACUGCAGUAUUUGGAAGAAACAAAUUUAAAUAAGUUCUAAGGUAAAGAAUGGAACAUUUAAGACAAGUCUGGAAAGUCAUCUGCCUUUAAUAACUGUCGUUUGUCCUUAACGUCAGACUUUCUCCAAGACAAAAACUCUAAGAACUUAUUUCCAUUCUUACAAAUAGUAAAAAUGAUAAAUCAUAUCAAGUCAAUUGAAAGUCCUGCCUGCUGCUUUCCUAAAUCACAAUAUGGCCUUGGUAUGGUUUUAUUUGUACUUUUGUGGGGGAUUCGUGGAUCUUUAGAUUAAAAAAAAAAAUAGGUUUUUGAACAAUUUUUGCAAGUUUGCAGCUGUUAGUUAUUGAUUUAUUUUUGCAACCCAUCUAAUUCUUCUGUCUCUCUCCUCUCCUCAGGCUCAAUAAUUCCAUGGGUCUCUAAGGCUGUGUUUAUUUUCUUUAAAUUUUGUUGAUUUACUUUUAUACUCCAUUUGAUUUUUUCUAUCUCUCACCUUUUCUCAGACUCAGUCAUCCCACAGGUCUGUAAGGCUCUGUUCAUUUUCUUUAAACUUUUUUUUUUCCUCUCCUCAGAUUGGAUAAAUUAUAUUGCUAUGUCUCUGUUUCUGAACUAUAGAAAAGCUCAAAAUUACUAUUUUUAUUUCUCAUUUUUUAUAUGGCUAUUUUUUCUCUGCUGAUGUUUCACAUCUAUUCAUUUAUGAGAAUAUUUUCCUUUGCCCUCAUGAGCGUGUUUAUAAUAGCUGCCUUCAAAUUCUUGUCUGCCGUUUACAUCUUGGACAUCUUGGAGAUGGCUACUGCCUGCUUUUUAUCUUGUGUAUUUAUUACAUUUUCACGUGUCUUCACGCAUCUCUUGAAUUGGAAAUUGUGCCCUGGAGACUGUAUACAAGACUGGAUUAAAAAGACUGGAUUCUGU